RNAcentral lists this ribosomal RNA (408 nucleotides) under uncultured bacterium. Its description in RNAcentral is "bacterial SSU rRNA". It matches the Rfam family "Bacterial small subunit ribosomal RNA", at positions 358 to 770 of the family's 1533-position model. The record is from RNAcentral.
GGAAUCUUGCGCAAUGGGCGAAAGCCUGACGCAGCGACGCCGCGUGGGGGAUGAAGCUUUUCGGAGUGUAAACCCCUUUCGACCCGGACGAAACGCCCGCCAGGGCUUGACGGUACGGGUAUAAGAAGCCCCGGCUAACUACGUGCCAGCAGCCGCGGUAAGACGUAGGAGGCCAGCGUUGCUCGGAAUUACUGGGCGUAAAGGGUUCGUAGGCGGUGCGGCAAGUCGGGAGUGAAAUCUCCGGGCUUAACUCGGAGGCUGCUUCCGAAACUGCCGUGCUCGAGUGCGGGAGAGGCGAGUGGAAUUGCAGGUGUAGCGGUGAAAUGCGUAGAUAUCUGCAGGAACACCCGUGGCGAAGGCGGCUCGCUGGACCGCAACUGACGCUGAGGAACGAAAGCUAGGGGAGCA